GAUGAACGCUGGCGGCGUGCUUAACACAUGCAAGUCGAACGGAAAGGCCCAAGCUUGCUUGGGUACUCGAGUGGCGAACGGGUGAGUAACACGUGGGUGCUCUGCCCUGCACUUCGGGAUAAGCCUGGGAAACUGGGUCUAAUACCGGAUAGGACCACUUCUUGGAUGUUGUGGUGGAAAGUUUUUUCGGUGUGGGAUGAGCUCGCGGCCUAUCAGCUUGUUGGUGGGGUAAUGGCCUACCAAGGCGUCGACGGGUAGCCGGCCUGAGAGGGUGUACGGCCACAUUGGGACUGAGAUACGGCCCAGGCUCCUACGGGAGGCAGCAGGGGGGAAUAUUGCACAAUGGGCGCAAGCCUGAUGCAGCGACGCCGCGUGGGGGAUGACGGCCUUCGGGUUGUAAACUCCUUUCGCUAGGGACGAAGCGUUUUGUGACGGUACCUGGAGAAGAAGCACCGGCUAACUACGUG
RNAcentral lists this ribosomal RNA (467 nucleotides) under uncultured bacterium. RNAcentral describes it as "partial 16S ribosomal RNA". It matches the Rfam family "Bacterial small subunit ribosomal RNA", at positions 28 to 507 of the family's 1533-position model. The record is from RNAcentral.